RNAcentral lists this ribosomal RNA (256 nucleotides) under uncultured bacterium. RNAcentral's name for it is "partial 16S ribosomal RNA". It matches the Rfam family "Bacterial small subunit ribosomal RNA", at positions 524 to 776 of the family's 1533-position model. The record is from RNAcentral.
GACAGAGGGUGCAAACGUUGUUCGGAAUUACUGGGCGUAAAGCGAGUGUAGGCGGUUCGAUAAGUCGGAUGUGAAAGCCCCGGGCUCAACCCGGGAAGUGCACUCGAUACUGUCGAGCUAGAGUAUCGGAGAGGUUGGUGGAAUUCUCGGUGUGAGAGGUGAAAUUCGUAGAUAUCGAGAGGAACACCGGUGGCGAAGGCGGUUCUCUGGGCCUUACCUGACGCUGGAGGAAGCGAAAGCGUGGGGAGCAAACAGG